CCCCGCCCCGCCACCCUCUCACUCCUCUCUCUCUCUCUCUCUCAAAUUGCACAAUCAAAUUGGGGGCACUAUGCACGCGGAAUCAACGACGACGACGAUAGACUCAGCACCUCUCUUCUCUUUUCCCUAAUCUCUCCUUUCUCAACAGUGGUGGCGCCACCCCUAGAAUAAAAUCUCCGGCACAACAGUGUUACUCUCAGAUUUGAAUUGUUUGAGCAGCGGCGUCAAUACCAGAAGAGAACCGUCGCGAGUAGCCCAUAGAAAAAGUGUACUGCCUACAUUUUUUGGAAGAGUGGCAAUCAGUGCGGUGAGUUUCUUGUCUAACUAUGUAUACUCUACUUCUUUUUAGCGAUUUUCAAUUUGAUACACACGAUUUUCAGUUUACAAAUUGUGAAAUAAGGAUUUGGAACCCGCUUACCAGACUCGAGUCGGUGUGGUGCAAGCGACGAUGAUGAAUUUUGUUGGUGGUAUGGUGCAGGCAACGAUUGUGGUUGUUUGGUUUCUAUGGGUGUCUGUUUUUGUGAGUUUUGAGUAGAUAUGGUGGUUGGGAUGUGUUUGGAUGGUGUUUUUUUGUGGUGGCGGUGGUGAUGGUGUUUGUGUGGUGGCGAUUUUGUGGUGGUGGUCGUGGUGACAGAUCUGGCUGUCGGGAUGGGUUUUAUUAAAUUUGGCGGUGGUUUGGGAGUGUUUUGGUAUUAUUAGGGGGUUUUAGUUGGUUUUUGUUGGUUGUGAAGGUAGAGGUACUUUCGACGAUGGUGGACUUGGUGACAAUUUUGUUGGUGGUACUGGUGGAGGAGUUGACGGUGGUGUGGUUGAUGGUGGUGGUGGUGGUGUGGUGCUUUGAGGGCGGUCGCAAGUGGCGUUGGUAGUGACAAUGACGACGAUGUUGGUAGCGGUGAACCAAUUAUUUGGUUAUAUUUGAUCAAGUAUUAAACCGUGACCUUCAAAUUUAAUAACUUGUGACUGAAAUAUAAUUUCUGACCAACAAUUUUAAAAAUCUAUGAUUGAUAAUAAACUAUGUCCUGUAAUAUUUUUUAUUUCUGACCAAUGAAAUAAAUUGCCC
Molecule: long non-coding RNA, 1060 nt
Filed under: Olea europaea subsp. europaea
Lineage: Eukaryota; Viridiplantae; Streptophyta; Magnoliopsida; Lamiales; Oleaceae
Source: RNAcentral